RNAcentral lists this ribosomal RNA (174 nucleotides) under Triticum aestivum (bread wheat). RNAcentral describes it as "partial small subunit ribosomal RNA". Lineage: Eukaryota; Viridiplantae; Streptophyta; Magnoliopsida; Poales; Poaceae. The record is from RNAcentral.
AUGGGUUCUAUUACAAUGUUUGUGUCUUGGGAGCUAUGGAACGAGGGCAACGCAAGGAUCUUCAACAACAAAUUUUCUACGUCAAUAGUUAUCAUGGCCAAAAUCCGGUGCGAGGCGAGAAAUUGGGGGCUUGCUGGCGCAACUCAUUUGCAAAAUCUUAUGCCUGGAGAGUAG